GGGUGGGUAACAAGCCGCCGGGUUAACACCUGAGGAAAGUCUCCCCACCACAAACACGCGGCUCAAUUUGCCUAGCAUUUUGAGUUCGAGCAAUCGAAGGCAACAUAACAGAAACGGACCUUGAAGAGGGAGGAGGAUGUGUGACUCCUGCGGCGACGCGGGCAUACGCACGGACGUUCCUCUUCGAUUGGAUGAAACGGACACCCCCGCAGGUGCAAGUGCCUUUGCGCACGCAUAGUUGAAUGCUUGAAUUGGCUGUCCUGAUGGGUCAAACCGUCAUUGGCGUACAUCGUCAAAUAGGAGCCUUACACAAGGGAGCUUAUUCCUGCCC
Molecule: RNase P RNA, 331 nt
Filed under: Candidatus Woesearchaeota archaeon
Lineage: Archaea; Nanobdellati; Candidatus Woesearchaeota
Description: RNase P RNA component
Rfam family: Archaeal RNase P
About the family: Ribonuclease P (RNase P) is a ubiquitous endoribonuclease, found in archaea, bacteria and eukarya as well as chloroplasts and mitochondria.
Source: RNAcentral